UUUCCGUUCCUGGGCGGGGAUGGCAUCCCGAGCAGGAAAGGCGUUGGUUAAGGUACCGUGCCAGCCAGGCUUAAGUUAAUAGGUUAGUCGGCAAGUCUUGAUCCCGUAUUUAUUGGGAGAAAAAGCGAGCGCAGGGCGGUUUAUUUAGGUCUGAGGUGAAAGCCUUCGGGUUAACCGAAGAAGUGCAUGGGAAACCGGGCGACUUGAGUGCAGAAGAGGACAGUGGAACUCCAUGUGUAGCGGUGGAAUGCGUAGAUAUAUGGAAGAACACCAGUGGCGAAGGCGGCUGUCUGGUCUGCAACUGACGCUGAGGCUCGAAAGCAUGGGUAGCGAACAGGAUUAGAUACCCUGGUAGUCCAUGCCGUAAACGAUGAGUGCUAGGUGUUGGAGGGUUUCCGCCCUUCAGUGCCGGAGCUAACGCAUUAAGCACUCCGCCUGGGGAGUACGACCGCAAGGUUGAAACUCAAAGGAAUUGACGGGGGCCCGCACAAGCGGUGGAGCAUGUGGUUUAAUUCGAAGCUACGCGAAGAACCUUACCAGGUCUUGACAUCUUGCGCUAACCUUAGAGAUAAGGCGUUCCCUUCGGGGACGCAAUGACAGGUGGUGCAUGGUCGUCGUCAGCUCGUGUCGUGAGAUGUUGGGUUAAGUCCCGCAACGAGCGCAACCCUUGUUACUAGUUGCCAGCAUUAAGUUGGGCACUCUAGUGAGACUGCCGGUGACAAACCGGAGGAAGGUGGGGACGACGUCAGAUCAUCAUGCCCCUUAUGACCUGGGCUACACACGUGCUACAAUGGACGGUACAACGAGUCGCAAGCUCGCGAGAGUAAGCUAAUCUCUUAAAGCCGUUCUCAGUUCGGACUGUAGGCUGCAACUCGCCUACACGAAGUCGGAAUCGCUAGUAAUCGCGGAUCAGCAUGCCGCGGUGAAUACGUUCCCGGGCCUUGUACACACCGCCCGUCACACCAUGGGAGUUUGUAACGCCCAAAGUCGGUAGCAGUAACGCUCUAUGGCUCGAGCCGCCUAUAGCACAGAUGCAAAUCCCG
Molecule: ribosomal RNA, 1043 nt
Filed under: Limosilactobacillus reuteri
Lineage: Bacteria; Bacillati; Bacillota; Bacilli; Lactobacillales; Lactobacillaceae
Description: bacterial SSU rRNA
Rfam family: Bacterial small subunit ribosomal RNA
Source: RNAcentral